RNAcentral lists this ribosomal RNA (399 nucleotides) under uncultured bacterium. RNAcentral describes it as "bacterial SSU rRNA". It matches the Rfam family "Bacterial small subunit ribosomal RNA", at positions 358 to 773 of the family's 1533-position model. The record is from RNAcentral.
GGAAUAUUGCACAAUGGGGGAAACCCUGAUGCAGCGACGCCGCGUGAGCGAAGAAGUAUUUCGGUAUGUAAAGCUCUAUCAGCAGGGAAGAAGAAUGACGGUACCUGACUAAGAAGCACCGGCUAAAUACGUGCCAGCAGCCGCGGUAAUACGUAUGGUGCAAGCGUUAUCCGGAUUUACUGGGUGUAAAGGGAGCGCAGGCGGUGCGGCAAGUCUGAUGUGGAAGCCCGGGGCUCAACCCCGGUACUGCAUUGGAAACUGUCGUACUAGAGUGUCGGAGGGGUAAGUGGAAUUCCUAGUGUAGCGGUGAAAUGCGUAGAUAUUAGGAGGAACACCAGUGGCGAAGGCGGCUUACUGGACGAUAACUGACGCUGAGGCUCGAAAGCGUGGGGAGCAAAC